UCGUACCGGCGACGCAUCUUUCAAAUGUCUGCCUUAUCAACUGUCGAUGGUAGGUUCUGCGCCUACCAUGGUUGUAACGGGUAACGGGGAAUCAGGGUUCGAUUCCGGAGAGGGAGCCUGAGAGAUGGCUACCACAUCCAAGGAAGGCAGCAGGCGCGUAAAUUACCCAAUCCUGACUCAGGGAGGUAGUGACAAUAAAUAACAAUGCCGGGCUCUCACGAGUCUGGCAAUUGGAAUGAGAACAAUUUAAAUCCCUUAUCGAGGAUCAAUUGGAGGGCAAGUCUGGUGCCAG
RNAcentral lists this ribosomal RNA (292 nucleotides) under Goniomonas pacifica. RNAcentral describes it as "partial Eukaryotic small subunit ribosomal RNA". It matches the Rfam family "Eukaryotic small subunit ribosomal RNA", at positions 279 to 570 of the family's 1831-position model. The record is from RNAcentral. Lineage: Eukaryota; Cryptophyceae; Goniomonadida; Goniomonadaceae.